CAAGUCGAACGAUGAACCUCACUUGUGGGGGGAUUAGUGGCGAACGGGUGAGUAACACGUGAGUAACCUGCCCUUGACUCUGGGAUAAGCCUGGGAAACCGGGUCUAAUACUGGAUACGACCUUCUGGCGCAUGCCAUGUUGGUGGAAAGCUUUUGUGGUUUUGGAUGGACUCGCGGCCUAUCAGCUUGUUGGUGGGGUAAUGGCCUACCAAGGCGACGACGGGUAGCCGGCCUGAGAGGGUGACCGGCCACACUGGGACUGAGACACGGCCCAGACUCCUACGGGAGGCAGCAGUGGGGAAUAUUGCACAAUGGGCGCAAGCCUGAUGCAGCGACGCCGCGUGAGGGAUGAAGGCCUUCGGGUUGUAAACCUCUUUCAGUAGGGAAGAAGCCGGCCUUUUGGGUUGGUGACGGUACCUGCAGAAGAAGCGCCGGCUAACUACGUGCCAGCAGCCGCGGUAAUACGUAGGGCGCAAGCGUUAUCCGGAAUUAUUGGGCGUAAAGAGCUCGUAGGCGGUUUGUCGCGUCUGCCGUGAAAGUCCGGGGCUUAACUCCGGAUCUGCGGUGGGUACGGGCAGACUAGAGUGCAGUAGGGGAGACUGGAAUUCCUGGUGUAGCGGUGAAAUGCGCAGAUAUCAGGAGGAACACCGAUGGCGAAGGCAGGUCUCUGGGCUGUAACUGACGCUGAGGAGCGAAAGCAUGGGGAGCGAA
This 711-nucleotide ribosomal RNA is filed under the name Arthrobacter sp. YIM 48832. Its description in RNAcentral is "bacterial SSU rRNA". It matches the Rfam family "Bacterial small subunit ribosomal RNA", at positions 58 to 772 of the family's 1533-position model. The record is from RNAcentral. Lineage: Bacteria; Bacillati; Actinomycetota; Actinomycetes; Micrococcales; Micrococcaceae.